Molecule: non-coding RNA, 68 nt
Filed under: unclassified sequences
Also listed under: 1 other name
Description: ilvH RNA
Rfam family: ilvH RNA
Source: RNAcentral
GACGAAUCUAUUGCCUGCCAAGCCCAUGCAUUACCGUGCAUGGGGGAGGGCAGCGAAAAGAGGAAUCU